CCUCAGUAAAUGGUCUAUAACUAUCAUAGAUGUAUUUUUUUUUCGUGGGUACCGGUAAUACCAUGGACAAAUUAAUAAAUGGACUGUGCCUUCUACACACCCCGUCUAUAUCUCUGUGGGACCAACAUUGUUAGAAAGAGAUCAAAGAAAUUAUACAUACAUAAGAAAAAGAUAGAGUAUAGUUUAAGAAAAUCAUAAAAGAAAAAAAAUGAGCUAUCAUGGAAUGAUACGCAACAUUUGGAAAUAUGAUAAUAUAAAAUAUUAAAGUAAUAUAAAUAUUAUAAUGUAAUAUAACUUAAAUAAUAUAAUAAUUUUCUUUGCAGGUUUUAAUAGUACCCUGAAGAACCAUUUUAAGUUAAAAAUUAAGUAUUUUUCAUAUGUGAUUUGUUCUUCUAUGACCGUCUUAAGUUGUAUGCCAUCUCUUUCUAACAAUAUUGGUACACGAACCUCUCUACGAUCAGUCCAUAUAUUAAUAUGUUUAUUGUCAAUACUCACCAGCCUACCCUCGAAACAAUUCAGUUAGAACUUUGUCGGGGGUAUAAAGAUGCUGACAUCAUUUAUUUAUAACAUAAAAACAGCAAUUAACAAAUAUACAAUUUUUAGAAACAAAUUUUUUACACUGGCUUUUUAGAUCAUAGACAUAUUAACUAGUUAAUACUUUCUAUGCCCUAUGGGCGUCGUGAAAGCAUUAGAAUAAUAGUAAUUUAGCC
Cinara cedri is the source of this 710-nucleotide non-coding RNA. Lineage: Eukaryota; Metazoa; Arthropoda; Insecta; Hemiptera; Aphididae. The record is from the annotation of a GenBank genome assembly.